RNAcentral lists this microRNA precursor (89 nucleotides) under Cajanus cajan (pigeon pea). RNAcentral describes it as "miRNA gene-KK1_032505". The record is from RNAcentral. Lineage: Eukaryota; Viridiplantae; Streptophyta; Magnoliopsida; Fabales; Fabaceae.
UUUAAAAUCGGUUAUUUCAGAACCGAUUUUGUAUAGAACCGAUUUUGUAUACUACAUACAAAAUCGGUUCUGAAAUAACCAAUUUUAAA